RNAcentral lists this ribosomal RNA (429 nucleotides) under Gemmatimonadota bacterium. Its description in RNAcentral is "Gemmatimonadetes bacterium partial 16S ribosomal RNA". It matches the Rfam family "Bacterial small subunit ribosomal RNA", at positions 355 to 776 of the family's 1533-position model. Lineage: Bacteria; Pseudomonadati; Gemmatimonadota. The record is from RNAcentral.
UGGGGAAUCUUCGGCAAUGGACGCAACCCUGACCGAGCAACGCCGCGUGUGUGAAGAAGGCUUUCGGAUCGUAAAACUCUGUUGUUAGAGAAGAACAAGGACGUUAGUAACUGAAGGUUGCAUGACGGUAUCUAACGAAAAAGCAACGGCUAACUACGUGCCAGCAGCCGCGGUAAUACGUAGGGGGCAAGCGUUGUCCGGAAUUACUGGGCGUAAAGCGAGCGCAGGCGGUUGUGUAAGUCUGAUGUGAAAGCCCCCGGCAAAACCGGGGAGGGUCAUUGGAAACUGCGAGGCUAGAGUGCAGAAGAGGAGAGUAGAAUUCCAUGUGUAGCGGUGAGAUGCGUAGAUAUGUGGAGGAACACCGGUGGCGAAGGCGGCUCUCUGGUCUGUAACUGACGCUGAGGCUCGAAAGCGUGGGGAGCAAACAGG